This 89-nucleotide transfer RNA is filed under the name Candidatus Palibaumannia cicadellinicola. RNAcentral describes it as "tRNA-Leu (CAG) (tRNA-Leu-CAG-1-1)". It matches the Rfam family "tRNA". From Rfam's summary of the family: Transfer RNA (tRNA) molecules are approximately 80 nucleotides in length. Their secondary structure includes four short double-helical elements and three loops (D, anti-codon, and T loops). Lineage: Bacteria; Pseudomonadati; Pseudomonadota; Gammaproteobacteria. The record is from RNAcentral.
GCGAAGAUGGCGGAAUUGGUAGACGCGCUAGCUUCAGGUGCUAGUGUCUUAUCAUAGACGUGAGGGUUCAAGUCCCUCUCUUCGCACCA